Molecule: long non-coding RNA, 3759 nt
Organism: Gallus gallus (chicken)
Lineage: Eukaryota; Metazoa; Chordata; Aves; Galliformes; Phasianidae
Exons: 4
Source: RefSeq, a predicted model, not a curated record
GGCGGCGCCACGGCGGGGAGCGCGGCCCGUCGUCCCGAGGCAGCGAGCGGGCACCGAGCGGGAACGGCAGCCUGCCACAGCCGGCCUCCUGGAUGCGGCCUGUGCCACACGGAACCAGCGAACUGAUCCAAGGGGACAGGGAAGUCAGUGUGGGCGGCUCUAAGGAAGCCCCUUCUCUACAGCUGCAGCUCAGAGGAUUAGAAAGCUUCAUCCACAAGGCAACAUUACACAAGUAGCCUUUGAACAAAAGUCAUGGAUACUAUUAAUGAUAUGGUAAUCCUUAAUCGAGCUACCUCCCAGUAGUGAUUAUACUGACAUGGGAAGAAUAUCUAAGUCGUGGAAGCAGCCCACAACAACACUGUGCUAUUGUUCACCCCAAGCUUGACCAGGACUAACUUUUACCAGCAUCUCUAACGUCACCUUUUUCUCCCUAUGAAGAAAAUGGGAAAGAAAAACCCUGAUCCUAAAUCUUUUUUUGGGAUUUGCUUUUUGCAAGUUCCCACACACAUUUAGUGUCAUCUCAAAAUUCAUGCUGCCAACGGCAUCAAGGAACCGUUUUCAUCCGAGACCAAGACCACACAAAGGUUACUUCUGUAGGUCUCAGUGAAGAUGUUUUAAUUGGCUGACAAAAGAUGCUUUGGUCAUUUGACUUGCAAAUAUUGGUCUCUUGCUCUCAGAUACCUCAUACAGAAUUACAAAAAUUGUCAUUAAAUUUAUGAGCACUCCUUAAUUACUUUUGCUCAACUGCCAGCAAGUGACCAUUUGAUGUGAAGGCAAAAUCCUGAACAGCAGGGUCAGACCCCUGGCUGCUACUCCUCUCAUAGCCAUCUCCAGACUGCCAAGAGAUAAUUUAGCUUCACAACAACUUCCCCUAGUGAACGGCUGGGGAUACACUAUGAAGAAGCAGCAGAUACACAACUUCUAAAUACAGAAGGAGGCAAAUAAAAAUCUGAGGUGUGAAAGAAGAGAAAAGAAGAGCUUCUUUGCAGAACUGGCUGCAUACCGACAAGUCACACACUUUCCCCAGAGAGAAAAAACACUUUUCCUCUUGCCAUAUUGUAUAACUUUGGUCAUUAUAAUAAGGGGAUGUAAUUAACGUAAAUAAAACCACUAAACUUACAAACAGCUUUAUGGGGACUUUAUUUUUAUGCAGUUAUUUUACAACAAGAGUUAGUGUUUUCUAAACAGCUGCUUUAAAUAAUUAACUUGAAUAUUCUGAUUCAUCUAACACUCCCCCAAAGAUUAAAAAUAUCGAUGCCCUAGAGUUGCCCUACUAAUUUGUAGAAAUAUACACCGGUGUCGAUUGCCUUUAUGACAGCAUGUAUUUUGGUAUUCAGAUGAACAGGGUGACCUGCUCUGUAAGCACUAGUUUUCAGAAGGAUCCGUUUGUAAAGUGGAAUCACACACAGCCGCAAUAGCUAGGAAACAGAUAUAUUUGCCUAUUUUUUUCAAGCAACCAGAACAUUUUAUCCAAGAAAGGUGCAGUCUAAGUGUAAAUUAUGGAUCCACUUCCCCCUCACACAUCUACUUAGGUAUAUAUUGUCAGAGUCCUUUUAUUGUUAAUUUGCAAAACCUUCCAUACCUCCCUCCAGCACACUCAUCAAGCCAACGCUUGAGAGCAAAAGCAUUAAAAUAGGUGCCUGUUUUUUAUUUGUAUUUGACUUGACUGCAAAUUUGUCAGGACGAAGAUUGCUUGCAUGUCUUCUUAUACCACCAGGCCCAGAGACAAGUCCACAGACUAUCUCCUUACUUGCUGUUUAUCUCCAUCUUUGCAACACUCCCUGUGUAUUCCACCCCCUUGCUUUGCAGAAAGAGCAGAGAGUUUCCAGGGGAGAUCUCAGAGAGGCACAGAAUCCCUGAGAGAAAGAUUGUGAGAGACACCACAGUACAAGCCAACAUCCCACAGAAGAGAGAGAAGAGGAGAGCAGGUCAGUAGGACAGUCACUUAACUGAAGAGCAGCAAGACUGCAAGACCUGCAGACUUGCACUGAGGAAAAGCCUUGUGCAGUUGAGGGACAGACCUGGAUGUGGCAUGUGUGAGCUAAGUGAGGGAGCUGCUGUUCAAACAGAGCAAUGAGGACCUGCAACCCUGCCAGGUUCAUCCUCAAUGUCUCAGCUUUCAAGUUAUAAUAAAAACUUAUUGAACUGUAACAUAAUGCUGCUCUGACCCACCUCACUGACUUAACCUUUCUACCUACCUCUCUGAUCUUCACCUGUCGUUUUUCUCUCUUUUUCCUUCUAGCUACUCUGUCAGUUGGAGAGUCUCCUUGCUAUCUGGCUUUCUGCUAGACUUUUUCUGCCCUAUCUAAAUUUCACAGCACUUAAAUCACAUCUGAAAAGAGUAUUUCUUUAAACAUUCCAUUUUCUUCCCUUUCCAACUUAACACUGUGAUUACAGUAUUUAUUUUUCCAAGCCUGUUGGAAGCCAAUUAGGGAAAGAAACCUAACACCCUCAAGCUAGAAAACUAAUGAAAAUGGAGCUCUAUUGAAGUUGGCUGACCCACAGGCCUGGCUGAGAGUGCAGAAUUAAAAACAACCCAAUGGACAUUGCAGCAGGGGGCUGUGCCUGACAGCCGGGCAGGGAAGAGAAGCCUGUGUAUGAGAACAUUCACCUCCUACAUUUGUUUAGAAUUUAGGAUGACAACGGGGAAAAGAGGGUUAUUUUUAGAGGGUAAGAAGUUCAAGGGCGUGGGAGGUCUUGGAAGGACAAGACUAAGUCUUACCUUGUAGCUGACCUCUCACCUUAGCUCCUCAAAUAUGACACUUAAGGUUGACAUUCAUCCUUCAUCUUUGUCACUCCUGCCUAUUAUCACAAACAGUCUCUGAAAUCUGGCAUAGGCUGUAGCUACCAAUGGAACUCUACAAAACAUCAAAAACAGCCUUUUAAAAGCUCAUCUGCAAGGCAAAAUAACCGUUCUGCAGUUAUCUGACUCGUGCUUUUCACCAGAGUGACUUAUGUCAGAGUGACUAAUGAAGUAAUCAUCUAGGAAUAGAUAGAUAUUUUAGCACUCUAAUACAGUAUGUCAAUUUAAAACAAAACAAAACAAAACAAAAAAACUGCCAGGGCAAAUUAUUUAGGAUUUUCACAUUUGGGAGUGGGUUUAACCACUGUUUUCACUGUCAUUUGGGUUAAUGCUGAACACUUCUCGAAUCCUACCCUAGUUCUGUGAACACACAGGGAAAAGAAGCUGGUGCCUUCAUUCUGCUGUUACAUCUCCCUUCUAUCUUGUGCAUGCCGACAGCCUGCUACCACUACAGUAAAUAUUUGCAUAUCGAGCAGCAAGAGCCAAGCUACUGACGUACUUCAUUUCUAGGGUAGCUUCAUUCUCUUUGGGUGUAUGAGCAGUAAACACCACUACAGCAUGGCUAAUUAAGUCUACAGUGUGCACCAUGAGUAUCAAAUGAACACCUAUUGCAGCAUUUGGGUAAUAUGGUGAUAUGGUCUACAGAUAUCUUCAAUUAGGUCAACUAAACAGUAGGAGAAAACAAACCAACUUUGAGUGCAUAAUCCUUUUCUAAUCUUUCAAAGGUAAUAUAUCAAAUAUUACUUUUCCUUUUAAAAUUUGUCUCACGUCUAAUACACCCAUAGCAGAUUCUGAAUAACUUCUGUCUUUAUUAAUCCACUUAUCGUCACCACUAGCAUGAAAUGUGAUUAUAGAGAAAGAAGAUACUUUUUGCCAUUCUUACAGUAAAUUCUGUAUUGUCCAUCUAUGACUGUGGGCAAAGGUUUCCACAUUAUCCUCACUGAUUAUAUUCCUUU